GGAGUCGGCCGGGUGGCCGCGGCCGGGAGACCGGUCGAGGAAAGUCCGGACUCCGCAGGGCAGGACGCUGGGGAAAUCCCAGGCGGGGCGACCCGCGGAAAGUGCCACAGAAACAGACCGCCGGGCGUUGAGCCCGGUAAGGGUGAAAAGGUGAGGUAAGAGCUCACCAGCGCCCCGGGCGACCGGGGCGGCUCGGCAAACCCCGUUCGGAGCAAGGCCAAGCAGGAGGUGUGGGUGGCCCGCCCGCUUCGGCGCAACGGCAUGCCGGUCGAAGCACCUCCGGGUAGGCCGCAAGAGGCGGACGGCAACGUCCGUCCCAGAUGGAUGGCCGCCGGUGUCCGAGGGGACACCACAGAAUCCGGCUUACAGGCCGGCUCCACUU
This 382-nucleotide RNase P RNA is filed under the name Actinomycetota bacterium. RNAcentral describes it as "RNase P RNA component class A". It matches the Rfam family "Bacterial RNase P class A". From Rfam's summary of the family: Ribonuclease P (RNase P) is a ubiquitous endoribonuclease, found in archaea, bacteria and eukarya as well as chloroplasts and mitochondria. Its best characterised activity is the generation of mature 5'-ends of tRNAs by cleaving the 5'-leader elements of precursor-tRNAs. Cellular RNase Ps are ribonucleoproteins. The record is from RNAcentral. Lineage: Bacteria; Bacillati; Actinomycetota.